AUGAACAUGACACGUCGUCGUGGUACUUGUUGGUCUCAGUCGAGGCGGCAAAACGUAGUCGAACUUGAGGUGGCCUUGACGAUCCCAAAAACGUUCCUGCUCGAGGAGGUAUCUGUCUUGGUCUUCACCGGGCGUGGUACUUGGCGAAAGGGAUCUCCGAAGGCGGCCUUGCGUCCCUGGAUGCUUGGUUAUUUUGCAUGGUGGCCUUCAGUGGAUUUGGAGGAAACACGACGUGUGCAGGAGGCAAACGGCUCAAAACGUCCAUGGCCAAACAAGCUCACAACGAGAGAAAAAAUGGAGGGUCAACAGGCAGCGUGA
Molecule: ribosomal RNA, 318 nt
Filed under: Triticum aestivum (bread wheat)
Lineage: Eukaryota; Viridiplantae; Streptophyta; Magnoliopsida; Poales; Poaceae
Description: partial small subunit ribosomal RNA
Source: RNAcentral